This 270-nucleotide ribosomal RNA is filed under the name uncultured prokaryote. RNAcentral describes it as "partial 16S ribosomal RNA". It matches the Rfam family "Bacterial small subunit ribosomal RNA", at positions 524 to 794 of the family's 1533-position model. The record is from RNAcentral.
UACGUAGGUGGGAGCGUUGUCCGGAUUUACUGGGCGUAAAGGGAGCGUAGGCGGACUUUUAAGUGAGGUGUGAAAUACCCGGGCUCAACUUGGGUGCUGCAUUUCAAACUGGAAGUCUAGAGUGCAGGAGAGGAGAAUGGAAUUCCUAGUGUAGCGGUGAAAUGCGUAGAGAUUAGGAAGAACACCAGUGGCGAAGGCGAUUCUCUGGACUGUAACUGACGCUGAGGCUCGAAAGCGUGGGGAGCAAACAGGAUUAGAUACCCUGGUAGU